Non-coding RNA from Phrynosoma platyrhinos (Desert horned lizard), 70 nucleotides. Lineage: Eukaryota; Metazoa; Chordata; Lepidosauria; Squamata; Phrynosomatidae. The record is from the annotation of a GenBank genome assembly.
GCCAGCAUGGCAUAGUGGUGUGAGUAUUGGACUAUGACUCUAGAGACCAGGUUUUGAAUCCUUGCUUGCU